AUUAACUUGUUCUUAUCACUCAUAUUUGCAUUUCCCUAGAGUCUAUUUUCUCAUUGUAAAACAACACCUUUUAUGGCGAUGUCUAUCAAUGUUAUUAUCAUAGUUAUCUAUGUCUCUUUUACAACUCUCAUCAUAAUAACUUACCUUUAUUCAUCAAUGGCUCAUUUUUGAUAGUAUAAAAAUGACAUGAAAAAUAACAUCUAUUUACACAAUCACAGCAGCUAUCGCAAUUAUUAAUACAUAUUUUACACUUUUUAGAUGAAACAGUAUGCUUGUCAUUUUUUACUUCUCAAUCAUCAUAAAGCAAUGUCCCUAGUGACACUAUUAAUGUAAUCAAAAAAAAACAAUCUACAAUGAUUGGUUUGCUGUACUUAAUACAGAAUCAAGACAGAAUUUAAGUAGAAAACAUGACAACCCAUAGAAAAGUUAAUCUCUUCACAUGGACACUAAUAGCAAGUACACAACUGCAUAUGCCUAAUGUUCUCUAACACAUGAUGGAUACCUUUUUGACUGCCAGCAUUCUUACAUUAAACAAAUCUUUCUGUAUCACUUUCAUAUACAGUUGCUUUU
This is a long non-coding RNA of Amphimedon queenslandica, 570 nucleotides long. RefSeq lists it as uncharacterized. The record is from RefSeq and is a predicted model, not a curated record. NCBI's taxonomy places the organism in Eukaryota, Metazoa, Porifera, Demospongiae, Haplosclerida, Niphatidae. The transcript is spliced from 3 exons.